AGUCUUUGCUAAAUCAGCAGUACAUAGGGGACCAGAGCUGCAGACAAGCUGAAGAGCUCCCAUUGAUUUCUCCCACAUUUGAACUGCUCAGCAUUUCUAGAAGGCAGAACCCUAACACCUCUCCUGAGCUGGGGACUAAUCUAAGAGACUUGCCUUUCACAGCUACUGCUCUGGCCACAUCACCCCCAAAAUGCUGACUUCAUUGCAUUUUGCACAGAGCUGCUACUGCGGAGAACAGCAGAGUGAAGGAAGAGAGAAUUAAUGCUAACGCGUCUCGCAGAAAAGCAGUCAAUAGCUGAGAAAUCUGUCUCAGGCUAUUUCCCUCACACCCUUCUGCACAGUAUAAUUUAAUCUCCUGACAGCACGGCCUGUCAAGCCCCCGAAGGGAGCGCAUGUGGACACACAGGCUGCUGCGUCUGGCUGCUGAGGCAGCGGCAGCUCGGCUCUAUGGAGAUGUACACAGCAAACCGCCGCUUGCCAACACUGGGAAGCACAUGGACCUUUUUGGGGGCGUAGAAUCAGCGCUGCCUUCUGCAGCUAGUGGGAAUUGGCCAUGUCAUGUGUUUAUCCACUCUGUAUGAAGAUAUGGGACUUAAAUCAUCAAACAUGGAGUGCAGUGCUGCUUAGCCAGUCGUACUAUCUGCUCAGGUUCUUGUUCAAAGCUUCUCUGCAAGGCAGGGUACACAAGGACCAUGUAGGAGAAAGGGUGAAAGGUAGGAGAUGGAAAUUUCAAUGAAAUUAAGAAAGGAGGAGGCAAACAUAAACAUAUAGCAUAGGCUAAUAACAAUUUUGUGAAUAAUCAAAGCUUUCUAUGUGCAGGAUGUCUCGAACCACUGCAAAAUUGGUGGGUUUUAUAGAUAGCCUAGUCCCCAAACAGCACUCGGGAUCUUCACUUGCUUUUUGGAAUUAAGGGACCCAUUAUACUACAAAAGUAAUGUGUAAAAAAUUUUGACUCUGACUUAGAAACAGCAUAACUGAAUGCUGACUGUACCAAGACUUCUGGAUAUGCAUCAAAUGUUUGCAGCCUAGCACCUGAAAACUCCAGAUCCUGGCUUGAGGAUGGCUGGGAGGAGGGCUCAAUUGGGAAAACUCCUUCAGCUGUUUUGGUCUACAGAGUAUUUGCUGCACAGUACCUGGAGUGUUAAGAAUCAAACCUCUUGUAAAGUAAAAAAUGUAUCUACAGAAAGAAAAGCAUGCAAUUUCCAGAAUGUUUUCAUAGACAAAACAGGAUCUUAAAUGGAAUCUAUAGUAUAUUUUUUUACUUUUCUGGAUUUUUAAUGGGUUUUGGUUUUUUGUUUGUUUCCUGGUUUCUUAGGGUUUUUCUCUUUUAUUUCACUUGUGUAAAGCAGCUUCAAAAUAGCCUGUGAGCUAGUAAAUCAAUAGAAUCCUUUGUCCAGGAAUGCUUUUGAUUUGGUUCCCAUGCUUAGUCUGUAACCUAUGCUGCCUUUUCACUGGUCUCUGACAAGUGAGAACAUUGUGACUUUUGAGACGAGAUUAGGACAUCCCAACAGUCCUGGAGUUCAUUUUCUUCACUGGCCCUGGUCAACCCGGAAUUGAAGAGCAGUCAUUAAUAUGAUUUAUAAGGAAUUCUGGAAAUCUGAUUUUACCCUAAAUGAGAAGGUAGUUUCCAUUUUCUAAUAGAAAUUAUGGUGUAAAACUGUUCCUACCUUAGCCUUCAUGAUCAAAGACAUAUGAAUUUUCUGUAAUUGUAUAUUAGUCUCAUCCUGCAACUAUUAUCUUCUCACAUUUUUCCUGCUAUUAAAGAUAUUGCACUGGAGAAGCUUUAGAAAACAACAAAAAAAAUUACACUACUCGAGAGUAAUGGAUGCCUCUGCUCGAGGGCCACAUAAAACCUUUUAAGUUAACAUGUAACCUUACAUGUUGCUGUUGACAUUUGGAAGAUUCUUCUGACAUUUCUUUCUAUUACUUCAGUGUUAAUAAGUUUAAAUAGGAAAUGUUAGUCUUGGUUAGGAAGUACCUGGGUUUGAAGGAAAUGUAGUGUCUGGGAAAUGCCCCAAAGGAAGGACAUUACAGAUGGGACAUUAAAGAUUUGCCUCACAAAUACGGGGCAUGCACAGAAGCCAAGAGACACAUAGAAUCACAAAAUAGCUUGAGUCAGAAAGACCUCUGAAAUCAUCAAGUCCAACCAUUAACCCAGCACUGACAAGUCCACCACCUGAUCAUGUCCCUAAGUGCCACAUCUACAUGGCUUUUAAAUACUUUAAGAGUUCCACCACUUCACUGAACAGUCUGCUCAAGUGCUUGACAAAUUUUUGAGUGAAGAAAUUUUUCCUAAUAUCCAAUCUAAACCUCCCGUGGUACAACAUGAGGCCAUUUCCUCUUGUCCUAUUACUUGUUACUUGGGAGAAGAGCCCAGUCCUCACCUCACUGCAGCCUCCUUUCAGGCAGUUGUAGACACCAAUAAGGUCUUCCCUGAGCCUCCUUUUCUCCAGGCUAAAAAACCCAAGUUCCCUCAGCUGCUCCUAAUACCACGUAAAACACAUCUAUUUCAAUGUAUGUUGUAUUUAACUUAAUAUGUAUUUCAGAGGAAGCGGCGAAUACAAACAUAGCAGUGAUUUCACUAUUAAAUUUGUAUUUCUGAAAAAAAAACCCAAACCAGACACCACCUAUGAGCAAGUAUGAGUGGGAAGAGGAAAAAAGAGGUAGUGUUUGGGCUGGAUCAUUGCUAGGUGAAAGGAGACAAAUCAAUUUUUUUGUGUGUGGAAUUUAGUGGUUUGUGGCAAAUUUCCUCCCCAUUUUACCUUUUCUCUCUCCAUUUUAAGGUGAAGGGUGAUGCUCCUCAAAGCUGCUGUCAGUGGAGAUGUUGAGUAGAACAAAACCCCUUUGACUCUACUUCCCAUUGUACUUUUCCUUCCAAUAAAAACUACUGGUGGUGGGCCAACUUCUCAAGCCUCUUGUCACACAUGUACUGACAUGGCUGAACAAGACCUCUCCCCACCCCUCAUUCAGAUCAUGGGGAGGAAUGUGAGGAGACAGAAAGGGAAGGGAUAACACAGAAAGUGGAGAAAAGAUGGGGAAAAGGUAUAGAUAGAAAACAGUCUAAUAGAAUGACAAAGCUAUUAUUCUCAGUUAUAGAGAACCUCACCUUCAGGAAAUUAGGUAAUUUGGAGCUUUUCAAAAGAAUUAUUAAGGAAAGGCAAGAAUUAUUACCUAGUACUAUUUACUUUAUAGGGAAAACUAAAAAAGCUAAAUAGGACAGCUAAACAGAAAAAUCAAAAAGAUAUGUGCACAAGCUGUCCUUUGUACAGUUGGAUCACAGAGGACACUAGUCCUGGAGCCCACUAUAUAAUAUCAUGAUUAUGGUUAAACUUCAAGAGCAGAUAUUUAGAUUAGAUUACCUGGAAGAAAUUCUUUUACUGUGAGGGUGGUGAAGCACUGAAAUGUGUUGUCCAAAAAACUUGUGGAUGCUUCAAACCUGGAAGUGCUCAAGGCAGGCUGGCUGAGGGCCUCAGCAACCUUGGUCUAGUGAAAGGUGUCCCUGCCCACAGCAGAGGUGUUGGAACUAGUUGAUUUUUAAGACCACCUCCAGCCCAAACCAUUCUAUGACUCUGUGAUAGUGAGACACAGACCUCAAAAUGUUCUACACACGUUGACUACCUAAAAAAUACAUAGGGACUGCAAAAGGCAAGCAGUGGUGGAGAACAAGAGAAAUUCUCCAGAUGGGAUACAAGUGAGUGCACAUCUAUCUGAGUGAUAUUUUUCUACCAUGUAUACUUAAGCAAAUAUUUAGGAACAAUGGGAUGACAAUUAGCAUAAUAAAUAAUAGAGUGAUUUCCAUGGAAGCUGCUCUAAUUCUGACUGACCUAGGCAAAAGUUCCCUUGCUUCCACAUGAACCUUUAAACUUGACUGAAGUCUGUAUUUGAGGAAACAAUAGUGAAAUAUAUUAUCUAGGGAAGGGACAUGCGGUGAUCACUGCACCUUAGAGAGGAACCUCCAAGCUCUUGCUAGUUCAGCUCUGGUUGGCAUUAUCUCCAUCUCCUCCUGCUUUCAUACACAGGCUCAUGAAUGAUGCUAUUAAUCAGCAUCAAGUCCCCAGAGCACCUCCUGCUCUGGAAUGCCACUGAUGAGCAGAUGGGAUUUUUGGCAAGAAAUGACCUGGCACAAAAAUGAACAUAGAAAAAGAGUACUAGAGGGGAGGGGGAACUGCCUGGAGUUCCUCAUUUAAAAGAAUGGAGGAGAAGAGAUUUAUCUUCUCUUCUGAUACCACAUUCCAAUGUACAGUCAUCUAAGGAAUUAUCAGAAGCCACCUGUGCACAUCAACACAGGCCAAUUUCCUUCCUUAAUGGUCUGGUAUAUCUAUAUUUGUCUGGGUAUAUUUAAUAGGUAAUGCUAGCAGCUACCUACAGUGGUUCAAUGCAGGUUAACUAAAAAUUGUUGACUCAGCCUCUUGGCUGGGCUCUGCAGCUCACAGUGAUGUCCAGGCAGAUGCUGUGCUAAGAACCCAACUGGCUAUUUUAAACUAGCAGGGAUACAACUGUCUGAACAGCAGCAGUGUCAGCCUAGAAGAAGGCCUGACCUAAAGUCUUUUGAAGCCUGUUUCUCACCCCUCUCCCACAUAUCCUUUUGCUCAGCAAAUAAUAGACAGGCCUCCCCCUGAUACUCCUGAAAUUCACAUACAGGAGGUGGGAGCUCAUAUUCUUCAGUCAUGAAAUUAGUAAGAUAUCUCAGGAAGUUUUUCCACAUUAAACAUUACAGGAAAUUGCCUCACUGUGAGUGAAAAGAAGAUUCAGAUCUUAUGGGUCAGGGACUACUCAGAUUUAAUUCUGUAAAUCUCACUGGUGGUUGUGGAAGCUGGGGAGACAUCCCAGGUUACAUUCUGCACCUUUGGAGUGCUACAAUGCUGAAAAUCACAUUACACAUCUUGGAUUCAAAUACACAUAUAAUACUUGAAACAGCAAAAAAGAGUAUUUAUUUCUGACAUAUUUCUCCCUUUUUUAAGAAAUCUUCUGUCUUCUUGCUCUUACCAAAUAAAACACACAGCAGAACACAGAGUUAUUCUGUCAACAAAGCAGUGUAUCUGCAGUCUAGAAGACAAACACCUGCUCAAGGAUCAUUAGUGGAGAAUGGAGAGGGAAAUCUUCCCUGUCCCACGCUUUCCCCUCACACACAGUUUGAAGACACAUGGUGCAUCAUUUGGUGAUGCACACGGCACAGAAAUGCUGCUUUCUAUAGCUCGUGGCAUACAAGGCUCAAGAACCACUUUACAAACACUAACAAAUGAAACUCUGUCUCUAUAGCACCAGGGUUAUCACCUCUCUUGAUUUUACCCUAAGUCUCUCAACUUUACUUGUCCUACUCUAUUUUAUGUGAAGCCCAAACUCUCAGAAGUCAAAUGAUGUGCAAGAUCCAUGGCUAUAUAAUUGGGCAGCAGCUGGCAAAAAUCAAGCUUAUGAUUCAGAAAUCUGAAACUAAUUGAAAAAGUUCCCACUUGAGAGGAAAAAAAGUCUUGCUUCUUAUGUAAAUUCUCUUAUUGCAUGACUGGCUUCUGAUUUCUAAUUCUUGGGCUGGUAAACUGGAGCAUUUCUCCACUAAUGGGCAAGUACUCUUAUCCCUAGCUGGCAGAUCAGAAAAUUACAAGGCAGCACUAAACCUGGCUACAGUAUAAGUGAGUAUUCAACACAGCUAAAUUCCUUUUACAUACUGCAGCAUUGAGCUGUGCCUGCAAAAAGGGCAAAUGAUGCAUUUAAGAACAAAACAUGGGCAAACCUGGAGCAAAAUCCAACUGUCUUACUCUUAGCCCAGUGUUUCAACAUCCAAGCAUGCUCUUGUCUGAACUCGUAAUUCAGGAAAAAACCCUCCUAUUUUAAAAUAAAAAUCUGCAAGCCUCCCUGCAGAUAUAUUUGAAGAAAGAAAAACCUAGUAAAAACCACUGGAGCCUCUCAUACUGUAUUAGGGACCUGAAGAGAAAAAGGAGUACAUUUUUAAAGGACUUUGAAGGUAGUGCCUCCUGUUUAGAUUGCAGUAAACUAGGGAUAAUUUCCCAGCCCAAGCAGCAGCAAGAACAACAGCAGCACUUCUAGACCCACAUGAUGCAAACCAGCUCAAAAGACAGCAGACAACAACAGGAUUAGGGACAUUUCCAGGAGCUAAGGAGUUAAGCAGAUUUCACUCCCAUUCACAUCCUCACAUCCUCAGGAAGUCAUUACAGAGCCAUCUCUAGCAUAGCUGGGACCCAGAGAGCUUUUGUUUGGCUUGCAGUGUGUGACAGGAGCUGGAGCCCACAGGCUGUUCAGUGCCCACUGAACAGGGUGAUAGGAGCUGUGUUGUGCACUGGGGAGCUUGCACAUCAUUCCCAGUGAGUGCAGGGCUACUGACUUUCCACGGACAAUACCUUGCUGUACAAACAAAACAAGAAUCAUACAUUCUCCUCUGACUUAUCCUGCUGUCCCCCUCUGUCCCACUUCCCCCAGGAUGCCACUGAAAGCUGGACACCUGGAGGAAUAGAGCAAUUGCUCUAUACCACCCAAACGUGAAGGAAAAGAAACAGCAAAAUAAAAAUAUGGCAAAUGCAAAAAAUAAAUAAGCUCUCCCCUAAAAAGCUUAAAAAAUAAAGAAACAUUUGCAGGCAGUUUAAUUUCAACACGUAUCGAAAGGGAACAAGAAGACUGGAUGGUGUUAAGGUCCAUAAAGUAGGUUAUAAACAGUUCCACAAGGGCAACACCAUAUAUUGUAACAUGCAAUUUUAUAGAGACCUUCAAAUUAAAAUAAAAACACUGGGUAGUUGGGGCUCUCUCUCAUGACUAUGAAAAGUCAGGAAAGAAGAGAUGGUACCAAGAAUUUAUAAACUGCAGAGGAGAAAGAAAGCAUCAGAAAAAAAGGAGCUAGUAAACAUUUUAUUUUAAAAUAUUGUUUUAUUUAAAAAAUAAUUUGGUGGGUUGCUUCAAUUUAUUUCCAGGUUAAAAAAACUGACUAAGGCUUCUGUGAGCUCUCUUCAAGGCACAGCUAUUAAGUAAUGGAAAAGACUCCUUUAAGUAAUAAGUAAUCAAGCCAGGAAAUAGGGAGGGAUUUUAGGAACUAAAUACCCUACAUAAAUUAGUAGCUGUCUCUUAGAUGUCUUCUGUUCUCUUUUUAACCCUGGGGAAGAGAAGGGGUGAAAGAGAUAAAAAAAUAGAAACAAAAUCAGAAUAAUGCUUUGCCUUUCCUUGCAUCUGUCAGGCUGAGAGUGAAAGCCCUUCUUGGAAGAUGAAGGUCGGGGGAGACAGCUACAACAAACAGGCUGCCCCUACAUCCAAACCAUGGAUAACCAGCAAGGAUAACCAAGCAGCACCUUCCUAUGUGUUCACUCUGCAUCAUGUGGCAACAGAAGCAAGGCAAGGCUCUCUCAGCCACUGAACUCACAAGGUAAAAGGCGAGCCUUCCCAAACUGCUCCAUCCAUGCUGACAGACCCCAAAUGACACCCACCAACUGCAAAGCCAAGUCCAAACUCCUCUUAGAAGUGGAAGACUGGAGUUAAUGUGACACUGA
This is a non-coding RNA of Taeniopygia guttata (zebra finch), 7487 nucleotides long. NCBI's taxonomy places the organism in Eukaryota, Metazoa, Chordata, Aves, Passeriformes, Estrildidae. The record is from RefSeq and is a predicted model, not a curated record.